This 458-nucleotide ribosomal RNA is filed under the name uncultured bacterium. Its description in RNAcentral is "bacterial SSU rRNA". It matches the Rfam family "Bacterial small subunit ribosomal RNA", at positions 340 to 786 of the family's 1533-position model. The record is from RNAcentral.
UACGGGAGGCAGCAGUGGGGAAUAUUGCACAAUGGGCGCAAGCCUGAUGCAGCCAUGCCGCGUGUAUGAAAAAGGCCUUCGGGUUGUAAAGUACUUUCAGUCGUGAGGAAGGUGUUAAGGUUAAUAACCUUAGCAAUUGACGUUAGCGACAGAAGAAGCACCGGCUAACUCCGUGCCAGCAGCCGCGGUAAUACGGAGGGUGCGAGCGUUAAUCGGAAUUACUGGGCGUAAAGGGCACGCAGGCGGUUAAUUAAGUUGGAUGUGAAAUCCCCGGGCUUAACCUGGGAAUGGCAUUCAAGACUGGUUAGCUAGAGUCUUGUAGAGGGGGUAGAAUUCCAUGUGUAGCGGUGAAAUGCGUAGAGAUGUGGAGGAAAUACCGGUGGCGAAAGGCGGCCCCUGGGACAAAGACUGACGCUCAUGUGCGAAAAGCGUGGGGAGCAAAACAGGGAUUAGAUACC